This 104-nucleotide microRNA precursor is filed under the name Marmota monax (woodchuck). The record is from RNAcentral. Lineage: Eukaryota; Metazoa; Chordata; Mammalia; Rodentia; Sciuridae.
AUCAGAUCACCUGGGGAUCUUGUUAAAAUGUAGAUUUUGCUGCUGUAGGGCCACAGUGAGGUCUGAGGUUGUGUAUUUCUAACAACCUCCCAGAUGAUACUGUG